This 627-nucleotide long non-coding RNA is filed under the name Zonotrichia albicollis (white-throated sparrow). RNAcentral describes it as "lncRNA (ENSZALG00000004838.1)". The record is from RNAcentral. Lineage: Eukaryota; Metazoa; Chordata; Aves; Passeriformes; Passerellidae.
CCUUAUCUUAGAGUCUUCUGUCAUCAAAGGCUUGCAAUCCACUGCAGAGUAUACAUUGUACCAUUAUUUGUCAGCAACUUAUCAAAAAAAAUAUGAACACUGUUUUUUUUAGAUGUAAAUUCUAAUUCAUUGCCAUUACCAUCUGUCUUCUCUGCAUGACAAGGAUUUCCAUGACAAGACAAGGAGCCACUGUUUUCCAGGGUGCUCCAUGAGGAUUUUGGAUUAUCAACUGUCACACUAUAAGGAGCAGAGUAAGCACCAGUAAAUGAAGGAGAUCAUCUGGAAAAGGCCAAUGCUAAGCAUAAUAAAUCAUUAUGGAACAGAGAACUGUAAGGAAUAGAACAUCUUCCAGAUGACCAUGCUUUCUCGGCCCAGGAGACAGCCCAGUCUCUACAAGCAGCAGGACUCAGCAAGGCCCAAGGAAUGCCUCAGGUGGUGCCUCCUGUUGGCUGUUUUGGAAUGGGCUGUGCUGGUGACGGAUACAUCAGAGAUGACCUGUUAUGGGCUAACCCCAGCAGGCAGCUAAGGACCACACAGCUGUUUGCUCACUCUUCCCAAGAGUGAAGGGGAGAGACCUGGAAGGACAAAAGUGAGAAACCUCAUGGACUGAAGUAAAGACAGUGUCAU